This 811-nucleotide ribosomal RNA is filed under the name bacterium 21F07-MB1-1. RNAcentral's name for it is "bacterial SSU rRNA". It matches the Rfam family "Bacterial small subunit ribosomal RNA", at positions 660 to 1472 of the family's 1533-position model. The record is from RNAcentral.
AGUAGANUUUCCAGGUGUAGCGUGAAUGCGUAGAGAUUCUGAAGGAANUACCGAUGGCGAAGNNAGCUUCUCUGGCAUCAUACUGACACUGAAGCUCGAAAGCGUGGGUAGCAAACAGGAUUAGAUACCCUGGUAGUUCACGCCGUAAACGAUGUCUACUAGUCGUUGGUCCCUUGAGGACUUAGUGACGCAGCUAACGCAAUAAGUAGACCGCCUGGGGAGUACGGCCGCAAGGUUAAAACUCAAAUGAAUUGACGGGGGCCCGCACAAGCGGUGGAGCAUGUGGUUUAAUUCGAUGCAACGCGAAGAACCUUACCUGGUCUUGACAUAUCUAGAAUCCUGCAGAGAUGCGGGAGUGCCUUCGGGAAUUAGAAUACAGGUGCUGCAUGGCUGUCGUCAGCUCGUGUCGUGAGAUGUUGGGUUAAGUCCCGCAACGAGCGCAACCCUUGUCCUUAGUUACCAGCGGGUUAACCCGGGAACUUUAAGGAUACUCCCAGUGCCAAACUGGAGGAAGGCGGGGAGGACGUCAAGUCAUCAUGGCCCUUACGACCAGGGCUCCACACGUGUUCCAAUGGUAGGUACAGAGGGCAGUUACACAGCGAUGUGAUGCGAAUCUCAAAAACCCUAUCGUAGUCCAGAUUGGAUUCUGCAACUGGACUCCAUGAAGUAGGAAUCGUUAGUAAUCGCGGAUCAGAAUGCCGCGGUGAAUACGUUCCCGGCCCUUGUACACACCCCCCGUCACACCAUGGGAGUUGAUCCACCAGAAGUGGAUAGCUAACCCUUCGGAAGGCGUCACCAUAGAGUGAUGAGU